Molecule: non-coding RNA, 91 nt
Organism: Gymnopilus junonius
Lineage: Eukaryota; Fungi; Basidiomycota; Agaricomycetes; Agaricales; Galerinaceae
Source: the annotation of a GenBank genome assembly
GCCCGCCUAGCUCAAUCGGAUAGAGCGUCAGACUUUUACGAUAUAGGCGUGUGUCAUCUGAAGGCUGCGAGUUCGACCCUCGCGGUGGGCU